Molecule: long non-coding RNA, 561 nt
Organism: Colius striatus (speckled mousebird)
Lineage: Eukaryota; Metazoa; Chordata; Aves; Coliiformes; Coliidae
Exons: 3
Source: RefSeq, a predicted model, not a curated record
AGGAUAUUGAAGGGAGCUGAUUCUGCUUUGAUCCUUAUGCUUGUUGUCAAAGCGCUUGGGAUUGAAGAGACUGUUGGCUACAAUUGACUGUGACAAUUAGGAGAUGAUCAGAGCCCUAGAGUGGAGCACUUAAAGGGUAAUUUACAUGUCAGUUUGUCGAAUAAAAAAAAGAUAUUCAGCUAAGAUUUUUUUUUUCCCCUUAGAGCCUUGUAAACUGCAAUUUGUGCUCCAGUAAGAAAAACCUGGCAGAGGAGUUAGGAUAGCCAUUUCCAUUUGAAAAGAGGCAAUCAUAAGGCCACUGCUGAGCCUAUUGUCCACUAAAAAUGCUGAUUUGCAGUCAGGGAGUGAAAGAGUGGAGCCAUCACUAAAUAGAACCUCGUGCAAGGUUUGCAUUUAAAGGACUCUUGGAGCACUAAUUGUAUAAAAUUCUCGUAACUGCAUAUUCUCUUGCUGGAAAGUGUACAAGAUACUGGACAGACAGUGAAGAAGGAACCUUCUUGGUGAGAUGAGAGCUACUGCCUUGCUUGGAGCAGGGAGGUGUCUGGUUCAAAAGCUGCACGA